ACACAAAGAUCAAGCUUAGAUGCC
RNAcentral lists this non-coding RNA (24 nucleotides) under Arabidopsis thaliana (thale cress). Lineage: Eukaryota; Viridiplantae; Streptophyta; Magnoliopsida; Brassicales; Brassicaceae. The record is from RNAcentral.